UAGCUCAAUGGUAGAGUGCUUGCCUUGCAUGCAUGAUGCCCUGGGUUCGAUUCCUGG
RNAcentral lists this transfer RNA (57 nucleotides) under Dipodomys ordii (Ord's kangaroo rat). It matches the Rfam family "tRNA", at positions 8 to 63 of the family's 71-position model. From Rfam's summary of the family: Transfer RNA (tRNA) molecules are approximately 80 nucleotides in length. The record is from Rfam by way of RNAcentral. Lineage: Eukaryota; Metazoa; Chordata; Mammalia; Rodentia; Heteromyidae.